Molecule: small RNA, 327 nt
Filed under: Histoplasma capsulatum
Lineage: Eukaryota; Fungi; Ascomycota; Eurotiomycetes; Onygenales; Ajellomycetaceae
Also listed under: 1 other name
Description: hypothetical RNA
Source: RNAcentral
UUCGCUCUUUCAAUAGUUUCGACAUGUUUCUUUCCCCUUGGUUGGGAAAGAGGAGUUUCAUAAAAUCAUCUAUGCACCUCAACCAAGCCCAUGACGUAGCUGCGUUCAAGCGAAAGGAAGGAAAAUUCCACAACUAUUUUAGCUCCCUUUUUUUUUCUCUUCCUUUCUCAUUCUUUUUUUCCCACUACGGUGGUCAAUGAUGAGUGAUAUGCGGCCAUGGUCGUGUAUCUCAAUACAUAUAUAGGAAGAGGAUGAAUUGCUCUCUUUUGAGAGCUUGAUAUCGACUGACAACACUCUGAGGCCUGAUUUGGUUUUAUUCCAACCAAC